Molecule: non-coding RNA, 201 nt
Filed under: Desulforapulum autotrophicum
Lineage: Bacteria; Pseudomonadati; Thermodesulfobacteriota; Desulfobacteria; Desulfobacterales; Desulfobacteraceae
Also listed under: 1 other name
Source: RNAcentral
UUUGCAGCCCGCUUUUAAGGUGCUCAACAGCUUAAAAUGGGAAUCCUGUGGAAUUCAGGAACGAGCCCGUCGCUGUAAUCGGGGACGAAAACCGCAAAUUGCCACUGUUUUUUUAAAAAAUGGGAAGGCGCGGUUUGCAUGAAGUUCAUGCGUAUAGGAUGAUCCGAAAGUCAGAAGACCUGCCUUGAGAGUUGUCUCUAU